This 496-nucleotide ribosomal RNA is filed under the name uncultured bacterium. RNAcentral describes it as "partial 16S ribosomal RNA". It matches the Rfam family "Bacterial small subunit ribosomal RNA", at positions 29 to 507 of the family's 1533-position model. The record is from RNAcentral.
AUGAACGCUGGCGGCGUGCCUAAUACAUGCCAGUCGAGCGAACAGACGAGGAGCUUGCUCCUCUGACGUUAGCGGCGGACGGGUGAGUAACACGUGGAUAACCUACCUAUAAGACUGGGAUAACUUCGGGAAACCGGAGCUAAUACCGGAUAAUAUAUUGAACCGCAUGGUUCAAUAGUGAAAGACGGUUUUGCUGUCACUUAUAGAUGGAUCCGCGCCGCAUUAGCUAGUUGGUAAGGUAACGGCUUACCAAGGCGACGAUGCGUAGCCGACCUGAGAGGGUGAUCGGCCACACUGGAACUGAGACACGGUCCAGACUUCUACGGGAGGCAGCAGUAGGGAAUCUUCCGCAAUGGGCGAAAGCCUGACGGAGCAACGCCGCGUGAGUGAUGAAGGUCUUCGGAUCGUAAAACUCUGUUAUUAGGGAAGAACAAAUGUGUAAGUAACUAUGCACGUCUUGACGGUACCUAAUCAGAAAGCCACGGCUAACUACGUG